Molecule: transfer RNA, 72 nt
Filed under: Flavobacteriales bacterium
Lineage: Bacteria; Pseudomonadati; Bacteroidota; Flavobacteriia; Flavobacteriales
Also listed under: 1 other name
Description: tRNA-Thr
Rfam family: tRNA
About the family: Transfer RNA (tRNA) molecules are approximately 80 nucleotides in length.
Source: RNAcentral
GCCGUUGUAGCUCAGGGGUAGAGCACUUCCUUGGUAAGGAAGAGGUCGGCAGUUCAAAUCUGCUCAACGGCU